UACAGGGGGUGCAAACGUCGCUCGGAAUCAUUGGGCGUAAAGCGCACGUAGGCGGUUCGUUAUGUCGGGUGUGAAAGCCCUUGGCUUAACCGAGGAAGUGCAUCCGAAACUGGCGAGCUAGAGUACGAAAGAGGAUCGCGGAAUUCCCGGUGUAGAGGUGAAAUUCGUAGAUAUCGGGAGGAACACCGGUGGCGAAGGCGGCGAUCUGGGUCGAUACUGACGCUGAGGUGCGAAAGCGUGGGGAGCAAACAGG
RNAcentral lists this ribosomal RNA (253 nucleotides) under uncultured bacterium. RNAcentral describes it as "partial 16S ribosomal RNA". It matches the Rfam family "Bacterial small subunit ribosomal RNA", at positions 524 to 776 of the family's 1533-position model. The record is from RNAcentral.